This 400-nucleotide ribosomal RNA is filed under the name uncultured bacterium. Its description in RNAcentral is "bacterial SSU rRNA". It matches the Rfam family "Bacterial small subunit ribosomal RNA", at positions 355 to 772 of the family's 1533-position model. The record is from RNAcentral.
UGGGGAAUAUUGGGCAAUGGAGGCAACUCUGACCCAGCCAUGCCGCGUGGGUGACGAAGGUCUUCGGAUUGUAAAGCCCUUUCGGCGGGGACGAUGAUGACGGUACCCGCAGAAGAAGCCCCGGCUAACUUCGUGCCAGCAGCCGCGGUAAUACGAAGGGGGCUAGCGUUGUUCGGAAUUACUGGGCGUAAAGGGCGUGUAGGCGGCCCGCUAAGUCAGGUGUGAAAGGCCUGGGCUCAACCCAGGAAAUGCGCCUGAGACUGACGGGCUUGAAUCCGGGAGAGGAUGGUGGAACUCCCAGUGUAGAGGUGAAAUUCGUAGAUAUUGGGAAGAACACCCGUGGCGAAGGCGGCCAUCUGGACCGGUAUUGACGCUAAGGCGCGACAGCGUGGGGAGCAAA